Molecule: ribosomal RNA, 253 nt
Filed under: uncultured bacterium
Lineage: Bacteria
Description: partial 16S ribosomal RNA
Rfam family: Bacterial small subunit ribosomal RNA
Source: RNAcentral
UACGGAGGAUCCGAGCGUUAUCCGGAUUUAUUGGGUUUAAAGGGUGCGUAGGCGGCUCAUUAAGUCAGGGGUGAAAGACGGCAGCUCAACUGUCGCAGUGCCUUUGAUACUGAUGAGCUUGAAUGUGGUUGAAGAUGGCGGAAUGAGACAAGUAGCGGUGAAAUGCAUAGAUAUGUCUCAGAACUCCGAUUGCGAAGGCAGCUGUCUAAGUCAUUAUUGACGCUGAUGCACGAAAGCGUGGGGAUCGAACAGG